Molecule: long non-coding RNA, 669 nt
Filed under: Capra hircus (goat)
Lineage: Eukaryota; Metazoa; Chordata; Mammalia; Artiodactyla; Bovidae
Description: lncRNA (ENSCHIG00000002598.1)
Source: RNAcentral
CUGAACUGGCUAGAAAAGAAGUAAGAGUGGAGAGCUGGCGGCGCCGAAUAGCCUAGCGCGCUCGCAGAGCCCGGCAGCACCGGUCCGCGGAGGAAAUGCGGGGCAGUCACAGGACCGGCUGGGAGGCACCGGAGAGCGCGAGCCCGCGGUCCCAAGUGGCUGCCGCCGCGGUUGCCUGGACACCCGGUAACCGACCCAGGGGCCUCGGUCGCCGGCGCCGCGGAGCCGGCGGGGUGGACAGGCGAAGCGCGGUGAGACAGAUGAGUUGGUUUCAAAUGACUGUAAAUAACCAUGCCUGAAAAGAAGAUAAUUUCCUGUUCUCCCACUGAAGGAGAGCAAACCAAGAAAGACAAUGCCACAUCACAAGCUUUGGUUCGAUUUGUUACCCCUGAGGAAGCUGUUGAGGUUAUUCAUGAAGAUAAGAUGACAAACACUGAAGAGCUGAAUAAAGGCCUUUACUUUGGCUACCCGUGCCGACGUGAAAGCUGUGCUUUAGUAAACAUCCCAGCUCCAUGUGUCAACAAGAUGAUUGCACACAUUGAAGACGUGGAGUCUAAAAUACAGGAGCAUCUGAAACGGGUAAGUCACAUCUAACAUGCUGAAAUUUUUGUAUAGGGUCUCUUGGUUUCCCUGGUGGCUCAGUGGUAAAGAAUCCGCCUACCAAGCAAU